GACGAACGCUGGCGGCGUGCUUAACACAUGCAAGUCGAACGGUAAGGCUCUGCUCUUGUGGGGUGCUCGAGUGGCGAAAGGGUGAGUAUCACGUGAGUAACCUCCCCUUUACUUUGGGAUACCUUCUGUAAACUCGGGCUCUUACCGGAUAUGAGCUCCUUCUACAUGGUGUGUGUUUUAAAGUUGCGGCGGUUGGGCAUGGACUCGCGGCUUAUCAUCUUGUUGGUGGGGUAGUGGCUUACCAAGGCUUUGACGGGUAGCCGGACUGAGAGGGUGACCGGGCACAUUGGGACAGAGAUACGAGCAAGAGUGAAACGGGAGGAAUCAGUGGGAGAUAGUGCGAGAAGGGCGGAGGCCGGAAGCAGGAACGCCGGGUGGGGGAUCACUGCUUGUGGGGUGGAAACCGCGUGAGAGUGUGAAGAAGAGUGAGUGACGGUAAUGGGUAAAGAAGCAACGGCUAACUACGUG
RNAcentral lists this ribosomal RNA (468 nucleotides) under uncultured bacterium. RNAcentral's name for it is "partial 16S ribosomal RNA". It matches the Rfam family "Bacterial small subunit ribosomal RNA", at positions 28 to 507 of the family's 1533-position model. The record is from RNAcentral.